GCUGGCAGUAAUUCUUAUAAAGGUAAACAAGUUUCAAGCAGCUAAGUAAGCGAUUGAAGGUUCUGGAAGAAGAAACUGAAACUAUGAAGCAAUAAUUUUUCUAGCACAUGGAAGAAAGAAAAAAACUGGUGGCUGAAAUAUACCAACACUUUCAGACAAGACACUAUUGUCUCCAAUAUGAAAUCAAAUAGUACAUGAAAAGAGACCACCUCGUGAUGGAUCUUCGAUUGUCAGAUUUCUUAAGGGUUAUCUUGGCAGAAGUUCUAUGCCGAAAAUAAAGUUCAUGCAUUGUCUGAAGAGGACACGAAACGAAUAAGAAAGCUGCUGAUACAAUGCAUUCUUU
Molecule: long non-coding RNA, 343 nt
Organism: Populus trichocarpa (black cottonwood)
Lineage: Eukaryota; Viridiplantae; Streptophyta; Magnoliopsida; Malpighiales; Salicaceae
Exons: 2
Source: RefSeq, a predicted model, not a curated record